CAAAUUCCUUUUCCUCUUGGAAAUAGAAUGUUCUUUGACUGUGAUUUUCUUUCUUUCUCAUCAGCCUUGAGUGAUGAAAGACAGAUACCAACAAAUGAAAUUAGACUCUCUCUGACUAUCCUCAGAUCAGAAACUCUAGAGACAUGCAGCAGUUUGGGAGGACCAAGUCGGAGCCAGACAUGGAGAGAGAAGAGAGAGUGAAAGGUAUCUGAGAUGGUGACAUGUCCCAGCAGGCUCUGAUUCAGCUAACUUGCUGUGAAUGAAAGACAAUGAAGAAGCAGAGAGCCAAGUUGUUACCAUAUGACCCUCAGAUAGGGCAUUUUUCUCUGUCUCUGAAAUAGAAAUAAUAUCUGGUGUGUUGGUAUCAGAGAAUUCUAGUAAGAAAGAAAUGCAUUAUAAUUUGUGUAUGUGCUGGGGAAAUGCUUUAAAAAGCCAACCGACCAACCAUGCUCUACAGCUAAAACAAUGUAAGUAUAGAUAACUGAAAUGUGCAAAUAAACUCAGGAGGUAAAGGGAAGAAUAUAAAAACUGAGGUUGUUUUCACCUGGUUAGAGAUAUAGAUAGAGCAAUAGCUAUAGAUGAUAUAGAUUAGAUUUAGUUAUAGAUAGAUUGAUAUAGACAUAUUCCACCUCACCAAAGUGUUGGAGAUGCCACGUGGCAUGGCCAAACCUGACAAGUGUACAGGCUCUAAAGCCAGACUUCGGAAUUCAAACCCUUCCUCUGCUGUGAGGCAUUGAACAAGUUAUUGUUUCUUAGAUCAUUAUCUGUGAAAAUGUGAUUGUACUGGGAGGAGUCAAUAAAUAAUUUCAGGUAAAGCGUUUGGAACAGUGCCUAGGCAUACUAAGGACUCAAUUGACAUUAGAUAUUCUCUUUUCCUCAAGUAAGUCUCAUGUAUUCUUGCCUCAAUUUUUUUUAUUAUACUCCCUUCCGUUUGAAAACUUCCUCUGCCCUGUGUAUUUGAAAUGGAUGCUUUAUUCGUUUCCAUUAGGUUUAGCAGGUUUCCCCUGACCUAUCAAACUUAUAGUGGUUGUCUCUCCUCUAUGAACUCUUAAGGAUAUUCACUGAUGAUUCCCUAGAGGGACCGUAAUUACAUAAUACUUUGGGGAAUGAUUUUAUUGUUGUUUAUUAUUUUCUAGGAAGUAGCAUCAACAGCAGAACUAACUUAAACCUAAGAAUCAACUGACAAGAGAUUGAGCUGAUUAUUCAUCACCCUCAGGAACCUCAUUUAACCUUUCUGAGCUUCAUUGUAUUAACUUGUAAGUGAAGAUAAUGAUAAUAUGUCCUACUUUACAAUUUUGAGGCUCUAUGGAG
Pan paniscus (pygmy chimpanzee) is the source of this 1311-nucleotide long non-coding RNA. The record is from Ensembl. Lineage: Eukaryota; Metazoa; Chordata; Mammalia; Primates; Hominidae.